Long non-coding RNA from Cyprinus carpio carpio, 800 nucleotides. Lineage: Eukaryota; Metazoa; Chordata; Actinopteri; Cypriniformes; Cyprinidae. The record is from Ensembl.
CAGCUGUCUGGGGGAAAAUAUGUAAGCAGGCGAUUGGACCAAGAGGGAAAUAAAAGAAGUUGAUGUUAGAGGAGAACGGAGGAAGGAUUUGUGGGGAGGCAGCAGUGACACAGCAAGCAAGGAAUCGGAGGCAGAGAGAGACUGGAUUAAUUUGAGAUAAGUGUCUGGUUAUUCUGGUUCAUAGUUAUUCUAUGAAGAAGCACUGCGUUGACAUACUGUUGAAGUUCAUGACUCUCUGUCUAGUUGCUGAGGAUGGAUGUUUGGGAAUGACACAACAGCGAGAGCCCUGUUUUGUAUCAACGCAUGGAGAGAACAUCAGUUGGGGUUGUUGUGUGGGCCCGUACUCUGCUUUAAGGAUUUGAGUGAAGAGCCUGCUAAAGCUGUGAAGUGCACAUACCUCUCUCCAUUCUCUGUCGGAGUCCACCGAAGAACCUGCUGAAGCAGUGAAGUAUACGUACCCUCCAUUCUGUCUGAACCCAGUGAAGAGCCUGUUAACGGACCCCGUGACAUAUGGAAUUGAGUAUCCACUGACUCGACCAUUCAUAUUGAAUCUGUGCUGAAGUACUGUAGAGUCACUGAACUGGUGCUGAAACCCCACUGAGCCACGGAACGGAGACAGCCACUGAUGAUAUCCAGCCUGUGAACUCUAGGAACGGAGUUACCACCAAGCCGUCGCCAUCUGGUGCCGUAGCCAUUCGGGCUGUAUUCACCUUACUGUGUUGGUAGUGGAGGAGGGGAACUAGAGCCACACACACCAUCAUUCAGUCUCUAGGGAGGAAGCUCGUACUGCUUUUAGAGAC